Molecule: ribosomal RNA, 1206 nt
Filed under: Triticum aestivum (bread wheat)
Lineage: Eukaryota; Viridiplantae; Streptophyta; Magnoliopsida; Poales; Poaceae
Description: partial small subunit ribosomal RNA
Source: RNAcentral
GCCAUCGUCAUCACACACACACACACACACACACACACACACACUCUUCACAAGUUCUCACUGUUUCCUGUCCCUCUUGAGUUGAGUCUCUCUGCUCCAUCCCGGCCGGCCUUUCCCCUCCUGACAGCCAGAUGGCCCAGAAGGUGGUGCUGAGGAUUCCCACCAUGACCGAUGACAAGACCAAGCAGAAAGCCAUGGAGGCCGUCGCCGACAUCUACGGUAUCGACUCGAUAGCCGCGGACCUCAAGGACAACAAGAUGACCGUCAUAGGCGCCAUGGACACGGUGGCCAUCGCCAAGAGGCUCAAGAAGCUCGGCAAGAUCGACAUCGUCUCGGUUGGCCCGGCCAAGGAGGAGAAGAAGCCGGCGCCGGCGCCGGCUGCUGAGAAGAAGGGCGAGGAGAAGAAGGAAGACAAGAAAGAGGAGAAGAAAGAUGACAAGAAGGUCGACAAGAAGUGAAAGCAACCCAUUGCAGAAGGAGAAACCCAACAUCAUCACGCAAACGGCAACAGCAACAAAAAGUCUUUGACAUCUGAGGCUCUGAUGGAAUGCUAGAUAGCUAAUUAUCAUCUCCACUGCGAAACAAGGUCGCUUUGCGUACUGUACUGGUAUAGCGCACUACAGACAUCAAGUCAAAUCAAAUAUCAGAUCAGUGUGUGUGGACAUGUGACUCUGGGUUUGCCUGAUUGGUGAUGACAUGAAUCCUACUCUAUCAGCCAACUUCAGGCAAUUUUUCAGAAUUCAGACUACAUUGCAUGAUCUCAGUUUUUUAGCUGUUUGAACCUGAGCUGGCCUGUGACAGAGACUGGCUAUCUGCCACCUUCUGAUAGGAAAGAGGACAAGAGUUUCAGUCGUCGCAAUGGCGCGGCCAAAAAAAAGGAAGCAGUGUCAGUGUGGCCUUUCCCCUAACUCCAAGUUGCCGCAGGCCCAAGUAUAUCCGGCUUUGCUCACAGUCUUUGAUCUGUCACCAUUACUUCAAAAAAAUUUGAAACUUUUAAAUAUGUUUUGAUUUUUUCUUCCUUUUUGCAAAACGAGCUCCAUGGGGCUCGGCCUUUGCAACGCCACACUCCUAAAUGGCCCGACUACUAGGGCUGCCAAUUAAUGAUAUUUUUUAUUUUUUCAUAAACAUGAAAAACAGUGUAUUCAGUUUUUACACACUGAAAACUAUGAUCACAAAUAAAUUGAUAAUGGAAACUGUUUGCUUAUU